UAGAGAGGUGGCAGAGAAAAAUCGGUGCUAUCUUCUACAAUGGUUCUGAAGCCGACGAUGGUGCAAGAUCGGGAGGUGGUUGCGGAGAUCGGGGUAAGUGUCGGUAUCCACUACAGAAAUCUGGAAAUAAUCACUUCUUCUGAGAAAGUUCAUCAAGAUCUAACGUUCCAACACAACAAUAUGCUCCUUAAUCGCAACUGGUGGUGGUGGUGGACCUAGAAUCAUGGCGGCACUGGUCUAAUCGCCGGUGGUAGAAAGGGUAGAUGGUCGGCCCUUAUGGUCUCAAGCAUCAGGAAGAGUUUUUGCAACAUGUGAUUCAGGUUCGAUUAUAAAUAUAUUAGCUUGAAUGUGGGAUUUGAGAUGGGUAUGAGAUUAUGAACAAUAUGAAUUUAUUUGGAUCUGUACUGCUUCUUUUGAUGUUGAAUUAUAGUAAUCUUCAUUUAACUGUCUCAUCAGUGCCCUAUGCUGUUGAACCCUACAUCGAUGUUGCAGGUCAUCAAUUUGAUAUAUUAUCAACAUUGUUUGGUUUCAGAAUCUGCAACAGGUUUCGUUUCUCGCUUGAAUCGUUUUAAAUUUGAGCCAGGUGUGUUACUUUCAGAUUGAAUUGCUAAAUAACUUAAAGUGUACUGAAUUGAGAGGACUUGAUUUGGGAGAUGAAGGGGAUCAAGUAAUUUCACCUUAGAGGACCGAAAGGCAUGAUGCUCAAAGAUGAUGACGAGGUGCUUGCCGUUUUAGCUACACGGGGCUGCAAGAAGACUGCAUCGGGAAAUAUGCCUUGUCGUGAUUACCAUAUUAAAGUGAUCGCCAGAUGACAUGGAAGGGGCCGGAACAUUGACUGUUUGGGUAAGAUUUGGUUUUCGGUUAGUCAUUUAUCUUCAUUUUAGUUUACCCCAAGCUAAUAAUCAUAUUACAAAAAAUAACAUGAUAAGGGAAACUCGUAGAAUGUUGUAUUUAAGACCGUGGGGUAUGGUGGGGCGUGGGUUUGGGGCAUGGGUUGACACGUGGACUUCGAGGGGCAUCGUUGGUCAGUUGCAUGUUGGGUCGGUAUGGCGAGGCGUGGCUAGCCCGCAUGGGUUGACACGGUUGUUUUUUAAAUUUAAAUCCUAGCCACCUAUAGCCUAGCAAACCCAGCCAAUGAGAGCCGGCCACGGAAGACCGCUAGGCCCGCCUAAUGCCCGGGCUGAAACCCCCGCCCAAGGGGCCACGCCAAAACCUAAGCCCACCCGGGGUGGUGACUUGGGCGUUUGUACCCAACCCCCGCCCCAUACCCCAUAGUCUAACACCCCUGAACUUUAACCAGUUUUUUCUCUUAUCCUUUUCUUAAGUCGAUUUACGCUGCAAUACCCCUUCUUCUGGACCCUUUUAAGCGUAACUGUUGAGAUGAAAGCAUAACUGUUGAGAUGAUAAUCUCUCAAAGUUUGUUAGCAUGUGUACAUGGAGAUAACAAGAGCAACUUAGGCCAUAUAUAAGAGGUGAGAGCGCACACAUUCUUCCAUCCAUGUUUGUGGUCUGAUGGAGUGUUGGUCUAGAAGUGUUCUGUCUUGGCACUGGACGAGGGAGGCGAGGCUGCUAAAUGGUUCACUGACUUUCAAUUAUAGAUGUAGCUUGGUUUGUAAAGAGUACUUGAUGUUCACUUGGUCUCAGUGACGUGUAUAGUGUACAUAUUGAAAGGAAGCCUCGAAACAUCAUCGAGUAUCAUUGGGUUUAUUUAGGUGAAACUAAAUAAGAAAUACUCAAUUUGUUGUUACUUUUUAA
Long non-coding RNA from Helianthus annuus (common sunflower), 1755 nucleotides. RefSeq lists it as uncharacterized. Lineage: Eukaryota; Viridiplantae; Streptophyta; Magnoliopsida; Asterales; Asteraceae. The record is from RefSeq and is a predicted model, not a curated record. The transcript has 4 exons.